ACAGCGGUGGUUUAAAAAAAAUUUAGGAUUGUGGUGUCUAAGAUACGGGUUCGUUCGUUGUA
This 62-nucleotide transfer RNA is filed under the name Amphiporus formidabilis. RNAcentral's name for it is "tRNA-His". The record is from RNAcentral. Lineage: Eukaryota; Metazoa; Nemertea; Enopla; Monostilifera; Amphiporidae.